This 317-nucleotide small nuclear RNA is filed under the name Castor canadensis (American beaver). RNAcentral describes it as "7SK RNA (ENSCCNG00000004085.1)". It matches the Rfam family "7SK RNA". Rfam says of the family: 7SK was discovered as an abundant small nuclear RNA in the mid-70s but a possible function has only recently been suggested. Two independent studies have found that 7SK RNA binds the CDK9/cyclin T complex (known as elongation factor P-TEFb). P-TEFb activates transcription by phosphorylating the C-terminal domain of RNA polymerase II. The record is from RNAcentral. Lineage: Eukaryota; Metazoa; Chordata; Mammalia; Rodentia; Castoridae.
AAAUAUGAGGGCAAUCUGGACGUGACAUCUGUUACCCCAUUGAUCACCAGAGUUGAUUUGGCCUGACCUGGCUGGCUAGGCACCCCUUCCUUCCUCACCGCUCUGUGUCCGUCCCUCCAGAAGCUGUGUGCUCAGUUGAAGAGGACGACCAUCCCUGGUAGACGAGGACCAUUCCUUGGUCAAGGGUAUACAAGUAGCUGCGCUCCCCUGCUAGAACCUCCAAACAAGCUCUCAAACUGUAGCAAUUAGAAAAUGUGCUUUUUAAUUAUGUUUAAUGUCUGUCUCUCUUCACCAGAAUGCAAAUUCUGUCUGUUCUU